This 482-nucleotide ribosomal RNA is filed under the name uncultured bacterium. RNAcentral's name for it is "partial 16S ribosomal RNA". It matches the Rfam family "Bacterial small subunit ribosomal RNA", at positions 30 to 507 of the family's 1533-position model. The record is from RNAcentral.
AUUGAACGCUGGCGGCAUGCCUUACACAUGCAAGUCGAACGGUAACGGGCCUUCGGGUGCCGCCGAGUGGCGCACGGGUGCGUAAUACAUCGGAACGUGCCCGAUCGUGGGGGAUAACGAGGCGAAAGCUUUGCUAAUACCGCAUACGAUCUACGGAUGAAAGCAGGGGACCGCAAGGCCUUGCGCGGACGGAGCGGCCGAUGGCAGAUUAGGUAGUUGGUGGGAUAAAAGCUUACCAAGCCGACGAUCUGUAGCUGGUCUGAGAGGAUGAUCAGCCACACUGGGACUGAGACACGGCCCAGACUCCUACGGGAGGCAGCAGUGGGGAAUUUUGGACAAUGGGCGCAAGCCUGAUCCAGCCAUGCCGCGUGCAGGAUGAAGGCCUUCGGGUUGUAAACUGCUUUUGUACGGAACGAAAAGCCUUCUUUUAAUACAGGAGGGUCAUGACGGUACCGUAAGAAUAAGCACCGGCUAACUACGUG